CAACAUAACAUAACAACUGCUGCUUUAAACGGUUUAUUAAAAGUUCUAAAAUCAAAUAUACCUGACUUGCCAGCAGAUGCUAGGACGUUAAAACAAACCCCUAACGAAAUUAUAGCUAGAAAAAUGGGACCAGGUGAAUAUGUUCACUACGGACUUAUCGAUUGUUUGACAGACUUCUUAGAAGGUAAUGUUUUUAAGGAUAGAACAAUCCUUCUUAAUAUAAAUAUAGAUGGAUUGCCUCUUUGUAAGAGCUCGCGAUUACAAGCAUGGCCCAUUUUAGUAAUAAUUCACGGCACUUCUGUUGUACUGAUGGUAGGUACUUAUGAAGGUAUAAGUAAGCCUCAAAAUGUUAAUGAGUAUUUGCAAUUUUUCAUUGAAGAAGUUUGCCAAUUAAUUAAUGAAGGGAUUAGUUAUAAAUCGAACUUUUAUGAAGUAAAAUUCAGGGCCGUUAUAUGCGACGCACCAGCAAGAUCCUUUGUUUUAGGUGUCAAAAGUCAUAGCGCAUACUUUAGUUGCAUAAAAUGCCAACAAAAAGGCAAACAUUUCGAAAAUAGGAUUACUUAUGAGUUGGAAAAUUCUAUGCUUAGAACUGAUGAGCAGUUCCGAAAUAGAUGUGAUCCCAACCAUCAUAACGUAAUGACUAAAAUGGCUAUUGAGCAGUUACCUAUUAAUAUUGUGACUCAAACUGCAUAUGACUACAUGUACAUUAUUUGCCUGGGUGUCGUUAAAACUCUACUUAAUUCAUGGAUUUCCGUAAGACGGAAGAAAUAUUCUCUAACAAAGGAGAAGAUCGAAAUAUUAAAACAGCGUUUACUUUUAUUGAAACCAAAUAUAUCAAAAGAAUUCUCGAGAAAACCAAGGCAAUUUUGUGACUUAGACAGAUGGAAAGCUGUUGAAUUUAGACAAUUUUUAAUUUACACUGGUCCUGUCAUAUUAAAAGAUAUUUUAUCUGACCUUCGCUACAAGCAUUUUUUAAAAUUGAGCUUGGCUAUAAGGAUUUUACUUCAUAAGAGCCAUUGCUUAACUAACAAUAGUUGUGCGAGGGAACUUAUUACUGAUUUUAUAAACGAAGUACCCGAUCUUUAUGACAUAGCAUUGCUCAAAUAUAACUUUCAUUGCCUUUUGCAUCUACCUGACGAAGUUCUAAAUUUUCGUGAAAACCUGGACACGUUUAGUGCCUUUAAAUUUGAGAAUCACUUGUAUAAAGUCAAGCAAAUGGUUAGGAAGGGAAACUUUGUUGCGUCUCAAAUAUAUAAUCUUCUCGUUGAGCAAAGCCUGCAAGUCACCAGAGAAGAAUGCUCAACUCUAAGUUUGGAAAUAAACGCUGAAGGCGAACUAUUAUCCGUAACCAGUCACAAUAUGUUUUGGUCAAAAAAGUUCCCAGACAAUUUUUACAUUUUUGACGGCAAAAUUUUUAAGAUCCAGUCCUUUUCAAUUUACGAAGAUAAAUUGGUUCAUUCAAAUGAAGUGUUGAAUUUAAAAGAUUAUUUUGAAAUACCCUUAAAGUCAAGCCUAUUAAAUAUAAAAUGCUCUGAUUCACUGUUAUAUGAUUUAAAAACAAUAAUUCAUUCUUGUUCACAACUAAAAGAAAAGUGUUUACUUUUGUAAAGUAAUUUUGGACCAGUUAAUGUUUUUGUACCUCUCGUACACAACGCAUAAUGUCUGAAAAAACGUAUAACUUCCUAAAAGAUUCCCAACUGGGCAGGAACCAUUUUUUGCCUUUAACAAUGAUUCAGGAAUCUCAACCAGUUCAAAAGCAAACUACGCAAAUAACUCCAAUAAACACUCUGCUUCCUCUAAAUACGCUGACUUCGUUGGAAUCUUCGAUGAAGACAGUGCUUUUAGGAAAACCGUCUAAUUUGGAAUCUAAAAUGGAUACCUGCCUCAAAGAAAUAAUUUGCCUAAAAAAUGAAAAUCAAGGAAAACGAAAUCUUUUUGAUUGGCAUCCCCGAGUGCGGAAAAUUUGUGAGAGCUGUUUGGAAACGUUUAGUCAUCGAUGAAGUUGCUUGCCAAAUAACAUGGAAAAAUGUUGAUAAUAAAAUUUCGCUUCAAAAUUUAGCCAUAACUGCUGCGUUUAAAGAAGCCUAUUUCAGAAAAUUUUCUAACGAGGCGGAUUUUAAGAAAUUUACAACAAAAUGGUUUCAAACUGCACGGGACCGUGUUAACUAUAAAGCAAAACAAAUCAAACUAUAAAUU
This 2196-nucleotide unclassified non-coding RNA is filed under the name Rhagoletis pomonella (apple maggot). Its description in RNAcentral is "uncharacterized LOC118743622, transcript variant X3". The record is from RNAcentral. Lineage: Eukaryota; Metazoa; Arthropoda; Insecta; Diptera; Tephritidae.